UGUAGGCAUCUGGAAAAUGUGUCUUUAUUAAAAUUACAUUUAAAAACGAGUGAUAUUCAGGGUCAUGACUUUCUGAACCCAUCAGAGAGCUGAAUUGCAGGGCAAUUAAAUAGUUUAAAAUGAAGGAAAGAGAGGUGCCUCCUACAAUAACAGAGAUGGGCUGCAAACAUUGGAUGACCUGUGGCAGAGCACGGAAAGAAGGCAAGGAUGACAGCUACAUGCAGACAAGGUCUCCAGAUUUGCCACCCAUGCUGAGUGCCGUGGUGUGAUCAUGGCUUAUUUCAACCUCAACCUCCCCCACUCAAGCGAUCCUCCUGCCUCAGCCUCUGGAGUAGCUGGGACUACAGGCACGCACCACCACACCCAGCCAUAAUUUGCCUCUUGCUGUAACUAAAAGGUCACAAAAACAAAGAAUUCUAAAAAAUCUUCUUCUUAAGUGUGCCUCACUACCACAAAUUAUGCAGUCAAGUCUCCCAUAUUUGGGGACAUCGCAGGGGUCAGCAUGUCCAGAGUGCAAUGGAUAAGCCUUGCCCUGGGAAAACCACCUUCGUGAUCAUGGUUAUCUCCCCUGCCAGAAAGAGAUUUAAAAGAACACCUGAAGGGAAAUAAGAAGAGAAACAGAAUAUGAAGAGGAUUCAACCAAAUAGAGCCAAUGAAGGAGACAGAGCAACUUAAAUAAUAAGAGCAAUUUUAAAAAAUGGGACAAAAAGGAAAGGAUACUCAGUGCAUAGUUGAUGGCUUAAGAAAAUAAGAUUUUUUUAUAUUAUACUUUAAGUUCUAGGGUACAUGUACACAACA
Molecule: long non-coding RNA, 798 nt
Filed under: Homo sapiens (human)
Lineage: Eukaryota; Metazoa; Chordata; Mammalia; Primates; Hominidae
Description: HSALNT0340797
Source: RNAcentral